CUUUUGCAUAAAAACACAUAGAAAUGAUGAUUUUGCUUUUACUUGUGGGAUGCAGUCCUGGAUGGCACCAAUAUCAUCUUUCCUACGUCACGCUGGAGUUAUGUUCAUGAGAUCAGGAGUCGCUCAGAGAGCUGGGAGCGGCUUCAUUUAGGGUCUGAGCUGCCAAAUUAAAACACCACGGCAUUAGCAUCGGCGUAAUGUCACAGCAACGCGGGAAUGGCUCUGACCAGACACCUGUAAAGGUGCAGUUCCCCAAAGCCCCUUUGCCGUCCAUGCCCGGCCUCGGGCUGACAACUCACAACUUUCCCACAACUUUCCCACUCUCCGGUGGGGUAUCUGGCUUCAACUGUCUCUCACUAGCCAGAUGCGGACGUGGUGGGGAUAUCCUACACCCAAACAAAAGGGAAACUUGGGAUGAAGGGAAAGACUGGGUUGGAGAUGCCCUCAGUCCAGUGAGAGGGUUUAACCCUGCUGCCUGCCUCAGUUUCCCACGCCAGCCUUCGCCCGUCGUUUCUGUUGGUAUUCGGCGCUCUUUCAGAUGUUGCAAGCCGCGCGGGGCCAGCUGACUUGGCGAUCCUUGAUGCCGCUGGGAUGAGUAUCUUAUUAUUGUGCCUUUGCCGGGAAUAGAAGAUUUUUAGUUUUAAUAUGGUCCUUGCUGUGUAGUAAUUGCAGUUUAACCCCCCCACCCCACCCCAAGCAACCCCAACCUGUCAUCCAGCCCUGUGGGAUCGCAGUGCUGCAGCUUCUUGACUCUGUCACUAGCCAGACGUGGGGCCUGGGUGUUACGGGAACUGAAUUAAUGCAUCAAAUGCAGAACUGCAGCCAGAUCAGAUGCAGAGAAACAUCCUCUUCCUCUGCAGCCAGGAUAAGAUGGGCUGUCCCAAAGGGACCAGCUCCAGACAUGCAGCCGACAGGCAGCCGAAGGGCUCUGCCGUGUCUCCCUGAAGCAGAUUUUGGUGCGGGCGGCGGGCCCAACACGUGCGUGUCCCCACGUCACCGCUGCAGCUCGAUGAAGGAGCAAAGUGCAGGGAGAUAAAACCUUGGCUCCCCUUGCUGCAGCACCCAGGGAGGGUGGUGGGGAACCAGCUGGCAUGGGCUGAACAGCUUGACAUAGCAUUUCCUCUCUGAAUUCGAUGCAGAGAAGUAGAAGACAGAUGGGAAAAAUCUAGCAGGGCAUACACUUAACAAAGCAUUUAAAUCCAGAUCAGUUCUUGGCUUCCAGACUGAAUCCUCUGGUGCCAGCCCCUCUCUCUGCUUAGAAACCCCUGUUCUCCUCUGAGCUCUGGUCUGACUUUCAUCCCCUUGUCCUUGCUCAGUGGGACACAGUGAGGCUGCAGCCAGGAGAAGCUCACGGGAAUCCUGGCAUAGACCAGCCCUGAAAAAGCUCAGCUCAGCUCAGCUUCCAGUGAACUGGGUGUAAUAGCACAUAGCAAACGGCAAAGCAAGCCAGAUCUGCAGAGCUGGGGAGGUUGCAGGUCUCCAAACAAGAGGCAAAGAGGGAGGACCACUCAGAAGAUUAAAUUUCAGUGUAUAUAAUCCUCUGUUUCAUAAACCAAUAGCACACGU
Long non-coding RNA from Struthio camelus australis, 1566 nucleotides. The record is from Ensembl. Lineage: Eukaryota; Metazoa; Chordata; Aves; Struthioniformes; Struthionidae.